Molecule: ribosomal RNA, 549 nt
Filed under: uncultured Glomeromycotina
Lineage: Eukaryota; Fungi; Glomeromycota
Description: SSU rRNA
Rfam family: Eukaryotic small subunit ribosomal RNA
Source: RNAcentral
UUGGAGGGCAAGUCUGGUGCCAGCAGCCGCGGUAAUUCCAGCUCCAAUAGCGUAUAUUAAAGUUGUUGCAGUUAAAAAGCUCGUAGUUGAAUUUCGGGGUUAGUAGGUUGGUCAUGCCUCUGGUAUGUACUGGUCUCACUGAUUCCUCCUUCCUGAUGAGCCGUAAUGCCAUUAAUUUGGUGUUGCGGGGAAUUCGGACUGUUACUUUGAAAAAAUUAGAGUGUUUAAAGCAGGCUCGCGCUUGAAUACAUUAGCAUGGAAUAAUGAAAUAGGACGUUUGAUUCUAUUUUGUUGGUUUCUAGGAUCGACGUAAUGAUUAAUGGGGAUAGUUGGGGGCAUUAGUAUUCAAUUGUCAGAGGUGAAAUUCUUGGAUUUAUUGAAGACUAACUACUGCGAAAGCAUUUGCCAAGGAUGUUUUCAUUAAUCAAGAACGAAAGUUAGGGGAUCGAAGACGAUCAGAUACCGUCGUAGUCUUAACCAUAAACUAUGCCGACUAGGGAUCGGAUGAUGUUAAUUUUUUAAUGACUCAUUCGGCGCCUUACGGGAAAC